Molecule: long non-coding RNA, 2799 nt
Organism: Siniperca chuatsi (mandarin fish)
Lineage: Eukaryota; Metazoa; Chordata; Actinopteri; Centrarchiformes; Sinipercidae
Exons: 2
Source: RefSeq, a predicted model, not a curated record
ACACACACACACACACACACACACACACACACACACACACACGUAUAACAAUAAUUAUUCAGCACUCAUGGUCAGAGAGGAUAUCCUGCUGGCCGCCCGCCACAGCGACUCAAUAUCAGGUGUACGUGCAGGAACAGUCGCUCACAGCUACAGGGUGAACCCUCUCAUCUUGGAGAAACCCCGUCAGGGUUGACCCACCCUUUAUUACACAAGGGUGAAGUCACGUCUUAAAAGGCAGCAAUAAUGAGAACAGAAGCACGACUGCUUUGGGUCACGUAUGCGCAGGGGGAGGCGUUAUUGAUUUCACAAAACUGAAACUCUAAAUUUAGAAGAAAUUGCUGCAUAUGUUCUGAAUGCAGAGGAAAAAAAACAGUAUCUGUCCCCUUGUUUAAGAUUGUUACAGUUGGCUUUUAAAUGUAAAACCAAAACCACAAAUUAAAAAUAUAGCUCUCUAACAUGUUGGACUGAAUGGUGUUUUUUGUGCAUAUAUUACAAUUGAACGAGCAUUACAUCAAAUAUUAGACCACAGUCACAACUGUGAGUGUUGUAGUCUCAGAGCAGAUACUCUUGUCAGUUUCCUUUGUCCAAAACAGCUUGUUAUAUCAUCACUAUAUCUAAUUUGAUUUGAUACCCCAGAAUACAAUGCAGAUCUUUUAACCCAUAUUCUGCUGGUGGAAAAGAAAAUCAAUUUGUCACAGAGGUUUUAACACCAGAGUAAAACAGAUUAGAGUUAAAAGGAGAACAUUUCAGUAAUUUUCAGUCUGAUCAGUUGAUACCAGUUGAAAGUUUGUGGUUAACCUGUAGCAUUUUUGGUUAAGUAAAAAUUAUUUGUAAACACAUAAAUAAAUGGAAAUAUACAUCAGGGAAAGUGUUGACCUUUAAUUUAAAUCAAAAUGAUUUAGAUCUAAUUAGAAAUGAUAUAAAUCGUGAUAAUUUUAAUUAGUCCCCUGUAGUAGAUAACAUACUUUAUUUAGGAUAUAUAUUAGUGUAUAUAGGUUUAUAUAUACAUAAUGUACAGUAUAUAGGAUUUAGUAGUAUUUAGAAGUUGAUCUUGCACCAGGCCUUCACUAAAACAGGAAGGCAGUUUCUAGAUGCUUUUUGAUUGUUUUUUGAUUUAAACAAUUAAAAGGCAUCUAGAAACUGAGGAAAACUGAUCAAAAAUUUAGGUUGUAGGUAAAACAGUUUAAGAUUUAGGCAGAAAUGCUGUAAAGUGCUCCUGUCAUCUCUAAGCAUGUGACCACUGAGGACACACACACUGAAAGCAGUUCAGAAUCAGAAUGAGAAAUACUUUAUUGAUCCCCGAGGGGAAACUCUUUCGUUACAGCUGCUCACUAUCAUGUCAGUGCACACAGGAAUAGAAGUACUAAUAGAAUAGAAAUAGAAAUAGAAAUAGUAAUAAAAUAAGUCCACAACCAACAAGUUGACCAGAUGAUCUCAGACUGCUGUAGGAGCCACGUGAUUUGUUGGUGUUAGACGCAAACAGCUUAUGGAGUUAAACUAAUUAUCCAUGCUGGCUGGGCCUCUACAUGUAUGCCUCACAUGUUUAGACUGUAAAUGGUUUAAAAUGUUUUUUACUUUAUACUUCUAAUCGUUAUAUCCUAAUUGUACAGCGGUGGGACCAAAAGGAGGCUUGUCAGUGAGAAAUGUGCAAAUUGCUGAAAGAAUAACAAUACUGGCGAUGAACGCAGUCCAUUUUUAGUACCAUUUUUAGAUGGAUAACAAUCAUUUUAAUACAGAAAUGUCAGAGACUGGAGAGAAGAAGCAGAAAGUGGGUUUUUGGAGGUGAGAAAGAUUGCUCCCAGGGCUUCAUUGUUUCUGGAAUAUAAACAUUCAGAGCAGCUGCACCACUGAACCUCCCUAACCCACCACUCCUGCCUGUUUCCUGAACAGGCAUGCACACACCCUCACAGACACACACACACACACACACACACACACACACACGUGAGUAAGGUCAGCAGAGCUAUUUUUGGAAGUAGCGGUUAAUCGCUCUGCUUCAGCGUGCCUCUAUAAAGCCUGGAUACACGCUCCAGUCCAGUUAUACUCAACUGAGUAGACUAGACAUCACUCUGUUUCACUCUGCGUGUGAAACCUACAACUCAAGCAUCAAAGCAUGAAACGCAGGCAGUUGUUGCUCUUUCUGCCUCUCUUACCCACCAUUACUGAGACGCUCGAGGACUUGCCUGUCCAUCCCUCAUCCACCCAAUCUAUGCAGAGCUCCCAGUCUCUAGAGGACUACAUGACCAGUAUCCAGGCCCUCGCCCGCCCUGUUGAGGCCCCAGGCUGCGGCCCCGUCAGACACCAGACGUCCCCCUGGCUGCGGCACUUCUCAAAGGGUCAGAUUAAGCUCUCUGUCUCAGCCUCACUUCCUUGCGGGUCUCCCCACACACUAAGGACUUCCAGGCCUUACAGUCUGAGUCUAAACAGCAAAGAGGAUUUUUCUCUCAAGAUGGGCAGAGAAAAAGACUUCAUGGGCAAAGACCCCGUAGACUGGCUGUUUGGACAGAUAAGGACUUGAAGAGAGUUGUGGGAAGCACAGAAGGCACUUUGGUGGAGUAUCUCAUAAUCAAAAAUGGCUGGAAGAACCUGCUCUGUUUAGGAAGAUGAAAACAAUGCAAUGUAUGAUGGGACUUAUUAUGAUGGCUGGACAAAGACAAAAUCACCUAAAGGCUUGUGAGAAAAGUGAAGAUCUAUUUAUUUCUAUGCACUGAGGACUCAAGUCUACAUGUUUACGGUAUUCAAUAUUUUGUAAAGAUGUAAAGGAUAUAGUUUCUAAUAAAAUACAAAAAUAAUAAUGUA